Molecule: long non-coding RNA, 2186 nt
Filed under: Homo sapiens (human)
Lineage: Eukaryota; Metazoa; Chordata; Mammalia; Primates; Hominidae
Description: long independently transcribed non-coding RNA 2327, transcript variant 3 (LINC02327)
Source: RNAcentral
AUUCUCCUGCCUCAGCUUCCGGAGCAGCUGGGACUGCUGGCGCCCGCCACUACGCUCGGCUAAUUUUUUUGUGUUUUUAGUAGAGACGGGCUUUCACCGUGUUGGCCUAGCGGUUCUCCAACUCCUGACCUCAUGAUCCCCCCGCCUCAGCCUCCCAAAGUGCUGGGAUUACAAGCGUGAGCCACCGCGACCCGCCAACACUCUUGACAACAGUGCUGUGCUAAGAACUUGGGGGACUUCAAAAAGUUCACCAGUUCCUGUGUCCAUGGGUGAAAAGAUUUUCUACAUCUUUCCUUGACUAGAAACAGAAGUCCUGAAACAAGAAUAUAACGUCAGGAGGCCAGAGGCUUUGUCCUGCCUAAUGUGUUAUUUCCACACUGAAUAAAAGCACCUGAGUCCUGGUUCUGGAGAUUGGGGCAUGAUAUCUUCCUUGGGCCAUUACUUGUCCUGCCACUUGGAAUAGGUGCUUAUAAGCCACCUCUAAGAUAAUGAAUAACUUGCAAUUUGAUCCGUGAUUUACAUAACGUGUAUGUUUUUCCUGUUUGCAAAGGCAUAUGGCAAGGGAGUAAAGCCAAACUUUUUACCACAUGGCAAAAAUAAUUGUAUUUUGCAACAGACUAAAAGCUUAAUGCUAUACAGACUUUGGGUUGGUGGAGUUACUUGAGGAUUUACUCCAGCAAAACAAAAAAAAGAAUGAAAGAAAGAGAAAGAUAAAAAUAUGAAAGAAGCAACAGACCUAUUCCAGAAAUGUAAUGAAAAAAGGCCACGAAGUUUGACAACUAUGUAUUAAAUUUACAAUCAGUCCAAAUUAGACUGGUAGUCAGAUUGAUAUGAGAAGUACAUUUUCAAAAAGAUGUACUAUACCAAAUAAUAUGAGUGCAAAACUCUGGAUGAUUUUAGUAAUAAUGUGAAGACACAUAUUUCUUUUGACAAUUAAAAAAAAGAAAAUGAAUUGGAAACUUCAGGAAACGUCAGAAAAUACAAAAUGCUCUGUAGGAAGUAAUUGUCUAAAUGAGAGGUGAAGCCAGUGGGACUUCCUGGAUUGGAUGGGGACUUGGAGAACUUUUCUGUCUAGCUAAAGGAUUGUAAACACACCAAUCAGUGCUCUGUGUCUAGCUAAAGGAUCGCAAAUGCACCAAUCAGCACUCUGUAAAAAUUCUGUGUCUAGCUAAAGGUUUGUAAAUGCACCAAUCAGCAAUCUGUUAGAAUGCACCAAUCAGUGCUCUGUGUCUAGCUAAAGGUUUGUAGAUGCACCAAUCAGCACUCUGUAAAAACGCAUCAAUCAGCGUUCUGUGUCUAGCUAAAGGUUUGUAGACACAUCAAUCAGCACUCAGUAAAAACGCACCAAUCAGCACUCUGUAAAAUGGACCAGUCAGCGCUCUGUAAAAUGGACCAAUCAGCAGGAUGUGGGCGGAGCCAAUAAGGGAAUAAAAGCUGGCCACCAGAGCCAGCCAGUGGCAACCUGCUUGGGUCCCCUUCCACCCUGUGGAAGCUUUAUUCUUUUGCCCUUCACAAUAAAUCUUGCUGCUGCUUACUCUUUGGGUCUACAUUACCUUUAUGAGCUGUAUCGCUCACCAUGAGGGUCUGCGGCUUCACUCCUGAGGUCAGCGAGACCACGAACCCACUGGGAGGAACAAACAACUCCAGAAGCACAACCUUUAAGAGCUGUAACACUCACUGUGAAGGUCUGUGGCUUCACUCCUGAAGUCAGCGAGACCACGAACCCACCAGAAGGAAGAAACUCCGGACACAUCUGAAAUCUGAAGAAACAAACUCUGGACACACCAUCUUUAAGAACUGUAACACUCACUGCGAGGGUCCCCGACUUCAUUCUUAAAGUCAGUGAGACCAAGAACCCACUGGAAGGAACCAAUUCUGGGCACAUAAAUAUGCAGCAAAAUACAAUAUGGUAUGAUUUUGAGCAAUUGAUGAAUAUGUAGAAAAAUUAUUCAAUCCUGAUGUUUGAAAUAUGCUACUUUGAGUAGCAGCCUUGUAGUGACCUAAAUGUAUUUCUGUAGAUAAAAUUGAACUAUGUGGUACUAUAGUGAAUAAUGUGUGUUACAAUAUAAUAGCAUGCACAAUUGUAUAUAUGAAGUUUAGAACACUUCUACAUUUUAAUAUCUGUAAUAUGAUUAUACUCAUAUAUGUGUACUCAGAUUUUAAAACAUAAUAAAAUAUAAAUGUUA